UAGGGAAUCUUCCACAAUGGACGCAAGUCUGAUGGAGCAACGCCGCGUGAGUGAAGAAGGUUUUCGGAUCGUAAAGCUCUGUUGUUGGUGAAGAAGGAUAGAGGCAGUAACUGGUCUUUAUUUGACGGUAAUCAACCAGAAAGUCACGGCUAACUACGUGCCAGCAGCCGCGGUAAUACGUAGGUGGCAAGCGUUGUCCGGAUUUAUUGGGCGUAAAGCGAGCGCAGGCGGAAUGAUAAGUCUGAUGUGAAAGCCCACGGCUCAACCGUGGAACUGCAUCGGAAACUGUCAUUCUUGAGUGCAGAAGAGGAGAGUGGAACUCCAUGUGUAGCGGUGGAAUGCGUAGAUAUAUGGAAGAACACCAGUGGCGAA
Molecule: ribosomal RNA, 372 nt
Filed under: uncultured bacterium
Lineage: Bacteria
Description: partial 16S ribosomal RNA
Rfam family: Bacterial small subunit ribosomal RNA
Source: RNAcentral